This 253-nucleotide ribosomal RNA is filed under the name uncultured bacterium. Its description in RNAcentral is "partial 16S ribosomal RNA". It matches the Rfam family "Bacterial small subunit ribosomal RNA", at positions 524 to 776 of the family's 1533-position model. The record is from RNAcentral.
UACGGAGGGGGCUAGCGUUGUUCGGAAUUACUGGGCGUAAAGCGCACGUAGGCGGACUGUUAAGUCGGGGGUGAAAUCCUGGGGCUCAACCUGAGAAUUGCCUCCGAUACUGGCAGUCUCGAGUGCGGGAGAGGUGAGUGGAAUUCCCAGUGUAGAGGUGAAAUUCGUAGAUAUUGGGAAGAACACCAGUGGCGAAGGCGGCUCACUGGCCCGUAACUGACGCUGAGGUGCGAAAGCGUGGGGAGCAAACAGG